This 497-nucleotide ribosomal RNA is filed under the name uncultured bacterium. RNAcentral describes it as "partial 16S ribosomal RNA". It matches the Rfam family "Bacterial small subunit ribosomal RNA", at positions 28 to 507 of the family's 1533-position model. The record is from RNAcentral.
GAUGAACGCUGGCGGCGUGCCUAAUACAUGCAAGUCGAGCGAACAGACGAGGAGCUUGCUCCUCUGACGUUAGCGGCGGACGGGUGAGUAACACGUGGAUAACCUACCUAUAAGACUGGGAUAACUUCGGGAAACCGGAGCUAAUACCGGAUAAUAUAUUGAACCGCAUGGUUCAAUAGUGAAAGACGGUUUUGCUGUCACUUAUAGAUGGAUCCGCGCCGCAUUAGCUAGUUGGUAAGGUAACGGCUUACCAAGGCGACGAUGCGUGGCCGGCCUGAGAGGGUGAUCGGCCACACUGGAACUGAGACACGGUCCAGACUCCUACGGGAGGCAGCAGUAGGGAAUCUUCCGCAAUGGGCGAAAGCCUGACGGAGCAACGCCGCGUGAGUGAUGAAGGUCUUCGGAUCGUAAAACUCUGUUAUUAGGGAAGAACAAAUGUGUAAGUAACUAUGCACGUCUUGACGGUACCUAAUCAGAAAGCCACGGCUAACUACGUG